This 500-nucleotide ribosomal RNA is filed under the name uncultured bacterium. Its description in RNAcentral is "partial 16S ribosomal RNA". It matches the Rfam family "Bacterial small subunit ribosomal RNA", at positions 30 to 523 of the family's 1533-position model. The record is from RNAcentral.
AUUGAACGCUGGCGGCAUGCUUUACACAUGCAAGUCGAACGGUAACAGGGUGCUUGCACCGCUGACGAGUGGCGAACGGGUGAGUAAUGCGUCGGAACGUGCCGAGUAGUGGGGGAUAACGCAGCGAAAGUUGUGCUAAUACCGCAUACGUACUGAGGUAGAAAGUGGGGGACCUUCGGGCCUCACGCUAUUCGAGCGGCCGACGUCUGAUUAGCUAGUAGGUGAGGUAAAGGCUCACCUAGGCGACGAUCAGGAGCGGGUCUGAGAGGAUGACCCGGCACACGGGGACCGUGACACGGCCCAGACUCCUACGGGAGGCAGCAGUGGGGAAUUUUGGACAAUGGGCGAAAGCCUGAUCCAGCCAUGCCGCGUGUCUGAAGAAGGCCUUCGGGUUGUAAAGGACUUUUGUCAGGGAGGAAAUCCCUAGUGCUAAUAACACUGGGGGAUGACAGUACCUGAAGAAUAAGCACCGGCUAACUACGUGCCAGCCGCCGCCGUAA